GAUCUAAAAUUCUAUAUUCUCUAUUGAUCAAUUUUAUAGCUGGCUGUAGCGGGGUGGUCACCCACUCCUGCCUUAAAAGGCUUAAAACAGCUCGGGGAGAGGGCAGUGGCAGGGAGAGAAAAGCGGGGCUGAUUGAGGAAAGCAGCCUCAGCUGGGGGCCACACCACAAUCAGGCCAAGGCUGGCUUAAUGAGGGCCCAGCUGGCCCUUAUAAGAGGGCUGGGGCCAGAAACCAGAGACAGACUCUCUCUAGGUUUGAGAGGGAGGGAUCUGGCUUCAGGGAGCUGAGAGAAGAUUAUUUGGGAGCAGGCAACACUCACCUGUGUGCCCAGGUGCCUGAUGAUGUCAACAGUAAAGGAGAUCUUGAGCAUCCCAGUGGUGAUACUGGACAGAGUUCUAGACGCUUGCAUGGGCGUACUGGCUGUCAAAGCUGAGGACAGCACUCUGUUGGUCCAGCAAAGUAGUCCAGCCACAGCAACAUGGGGAGAGCAAUUCUAACUUGGGAUCAUUUCAAGCUGCACAACCCCUCGGAAGAUCCCAGCUGUUAUAGCCAGAGGUCAGUAACCCCAGAUCUUGGUUAGACAAUAUGACCACUUCAUAUCUUCUCAGACUCAGAGAAACCCCUUAAAGUCUCUUUGCUGCCUCCCUUCCCCUGCAAACACUUUCCCGAACAACAAAGGUGGUGGUUACCCAGACUGCCGUCACUCAAGGCCAACCUCAGCCAGUUCCGGGCACUGGGCUGUUGCUGUGAAGCCCAGCAGUUGCCUCCGUGAGCCUCCCUGCUUGAUCAAAGAGCCAGCGGCUCCUGGGAUGGACAGAGCUCCACAGAGCAAUCGCAGCUCCCUUGACCAGCAUCCCAGCUCCUCACCAAAACAGAGCCCAGUGCAUGCUCCCCCUGCAUCCCCUGGAAACAGAAGUCUCUCUCUUUUGCCAAUGGAAGUUGUAGUCUCCAAGGCUGGCUUGCACUACUCAGGGCCUUCCUGACUGGAACACUCCCACUUAAGCUCAGAGGCCCCUCUAGAGAAGCAUCACUAUGUUGACAAGCUAAGACAAGAGACACAAUAAAAGAAUACUUUUAAAAUGUUUCAACUUUUAGAGCAGCAGCUGGAUCAACCGUAGGCGGUCAGUCCACUUGUUCUGACAGAGAUGUGGUCUAGGCUGCUGAGGGAGACUGAUGGAAUGAGAGAAUAUAAUUUAGCUAGCAAUGAAAAUGACUUCUCAGUGAUCUUCAGCAUUUCUCUGCGAUACAUUGUAAACCUGUCCAGGGAUGAUUUAUGAGUAACCUCUCUGACAACUGAAAUUGAAAACUAACAGAUCAAGCAUUUGAAUAUCUACAAACUUUGGGAAACAAUUGUGAGUGUCUCCUGAAAGAUGGAGGGGCAGAUUGUGGCAGGUCCCAUGCUGGCAUUGUAACUGAGGGAGAAGGACUGACACUUUAAAAUAAACCUCCUGUCCCUUGAUAAUCUGUGUUGAGGCCAAUCAUGUCCGUUAGUUCAAGGGCCAGACAAUCCAGUGCCACGGCUCCACUCCCGCUUCUGUAUCAGUCAGCGGAACCAUGGUGCAUCCUUUUAAAAGGUAUCAGAGCUCCCACUCCGACCUGUGCUUCCCCAGUGACCCAAGGAAUUCUGGCUGUGAAUCAGCCAAAUGCCUCUGGGGACACCUGCUGGCAUGGGCUAUGUCCACAGCCCCUGCUUAAUGUUCACACGGAGCCCUGGUGGUGCUUUGUAGAGGCCUAUUUUGUUUACAUUUCACUUUCCUUUUCCAACCAAUAUAUUGUAGAUUUGAGAAAAUCUUGAUCCCCACCCCUAAAGCAACUGAAGAAAUACAGACUGGAUCCAACUUCUGCCCCAUGCUGGACAAGGGCACCACCACAAGACCAACAGUCAGUUAUAUUUAAAGUAGUGGAAUUUCCCAUUGCUUGAACUUGUAGGACAGGUGUUACCAAGGCUGAGCUGAGUUGUUCAAUUUUCAAAAGCUGCAUUAGCUUUAUGAGUUUCCCAGACACCAUGAUGGGCUGGGGUUUGUUCCUGAAUGGAGAUGUGUUAGAACUUAAGAACUAACCCAUUAGUGCUUGUCCUGGACUACUUGAAUCAAUGGAGAGGGUAGUGUGACCCUUCCAGGGGCAGCUCUAGCUUUUUU
Mauremys reevesii (Reeves's turtle) is the source of this 2138-nucleotide long non-coding RNA. RefSeq lists it as uncharacterized. NCBI's taxonomy places the organism in Eukaryota, Metazoa, Chordata, Testudines, Geoemydidae. The transcript has 3 exons. The record is from RefSeq and is a predicted model, not a curated record.